This 69-nucleotide transfer RNA is filed under the name Agenocimbex maculatus. Its description in RNAcentral is "tRNA-Thr". The record is from RNAcentral. Lineage: Eukaryota; Metazoa; Arthropoda; Insecta; Hymenoptera; Cimbicidae.
GUUUUAAUAAUUUAAAUAUUUAAAAUAAUGAUUUUGUAAAUCAAAAAUAAGAAAUUUUCUUUUAAAACU